CUAGCGACAGGCCUAACACAUGCAAGUCGAGGGGCAGCACAAGGAGCAAUCUGAGGUGGCGACCGGCGCACGGGUGAGUAACACGUAUGCAACCUGCCUGUAAGCGGGGAAUAACCCGUUGAAAGACGGACUAAUACCGCAUAAUACUAAAUUACUGCAUGGUAAUUUAUUUAAACAUUUAUGGCUUACAGAUGGGCAUGCGCAUGAUUAGCUAGUUGGAGAGGUAACGGCUCCCCAAGGCAACGAUCAUUAGGGGUUCUGAGAGGAAGGUCCCCCACACUGGUACUGAGACACGGACCAGACUCCUACGGGAGGCAGCAGUGAGGAAUAUUGGUCAAUGGACGAGAGUCUGAACCAGCCAAGUCGCGUGCAGGAAGAAUGUUCCCUAUGGAUUGUAAACUGCUUUUGCAGGGGAAUAAAGUGCAUCACGUGUGAUGUUUUGUAUGUACUCUGCGAAUAAGGAUCGGCUAACUCCGUGCCAGCCGCCGC
RNAcentral lists this ribosomal RNA (489 nucleotides) under uncultured bacterium. RNAcentral describes it as "bacterial SSU rRNA". It matches the Rfam family "Bacterial small subunit ribosomal RNA", at positions 36 to 518 of the family's 1533-position model. The record is from RNAcentral.